This is a non-coding RNA of Rattus norvegicus (Norway rat), 6169 nucleotides long. The record is from RefSeq and is a predicted model, not a curated record. NCBI's taxonomy places the organism in Eukaryota, Metazoa, Chordata, Mammalia, Rodentia, Muridae.
AGUUUGCUUAGUUCCCUUGGAUCGGGGCUGUUCCAGGCGAUUGUUUACCUAUUUAUGGUGGGGAUGGUCCUCCGAAAUCACAAACUCUUGGUAGCAGACAGAAAGAGGAGUUAACACGAAUACAUGUGUAUAAGAGAACGAGACUAUGGGGUCAGGGUGUGGAGUUUAUGAAGUUUAGAGACCUCGAGAGUCAGCGACGUUUAAGACUGAAUUUGCAACCACGUUUGUGACCAUGGCUAUAUGUUCUCAACAGCGUUUCAUUACUAUCCAGUUUUGUCAGAAACAUGCCUUUGUCUGUACUUCGUAGCCUCCUUGUUCUGACCGUUGGUGUUACUGAUGACCUAGGAUUGUAAACACGAUUCCUGGGCAAUGUCUGCAUACUAACUAGAUCCCAAGGAAACGGAACCAUUUACUAGUCAGCUAGACCCUUGUACCAGUUAGCCGUUCUCCCUCCGUCCUUCCCUUUGCUCCUCGCAUCGUUCAUUAUCUAAUAAUCUAAUUACAAAUGAUAUUGGGAGACUUUGCAGCUGCUUGCUAGACAUUGCACGUCUUUGGAGAAACGUCUAUACAAAAUCUUGGCUCGUUUUUUAAAUUCGCUUUUGAUUGUCUUAUUAGCUGGAGUUUUUCAUAUAUUUCAGUCCUUAGUGGGCAUUGGGGAUGUAGCCAAUGUAGCAGCAGAGUGCUUGCUUUGUAUGCAUAAGACCUAGGAUCCACGAAAGAAAAACUUAAUCACCACCGGGAAGGGGAACUUUAUUUGAUAUAUAUUUUACGAAUAGUGUCCACACAUGCUGUAGGAGUAAUCUGUCUUUUUAUUUUCUUGAUAAUACUGUUUAGCGAAGAAGGUUUUUUGGGGGUUUUUUUGGUUUUUUUUUUCCGGAGCUGGGGACCAAACCCAGGGCCUUGCGCUUGCUAGGCAAGCGCUCUACCAGAAGGUUUUUUUUUUUAAGGUUUAUUUCUGCUUCAUGUAUUUUGAGUAUUUUGCCUGCAGUACCUGCAUACAGUACACAGGGAGACCAGAAGAGAGCAUCCGAUUCCCCGAAACUGGAGUGGCAUGUGUGCUUGCGAGCCACUCCCUGAGAGACACAGGUCCUCUUCAAGAGCAACAAGUACUCCUGACUCCUAAGCCAUCUCUCCAGGCCCUGCUUUAGAUAAUAUAGUGCACAUAGUUCCUUUAUCAUAGAAUUUAAGCGACAUUAUUUUAUUUCACAUAGAAUAUAGAACUGAAAGCAAUAGUUUCUCUUUUCCUUGCCUAGUAUUGUUGCUGUCAAACAAACUUCUUGAAUUUGCCAUCGAUCGACGUGUAGACCAGACCGGCCGCAAGCUCAGAGAAAUCAGCCCGCUUCUGUUCCACAGGUCCAGCACACACCACCAUCCCACCUUAACUUUUAUUUUCUGUCUGUCCCAGCACCACAGAUAGCUUCUCCCAUACAGUGUUGGCUCCUAAUCAGCCACCACAGAGAAGAAUUCCAUACACAAACACGUAUCCGUUAUCCUAAUCUUUCAACAUCUGUCCGACUCAAUAAUUCUCCACAAAUCCGUUCCUACCACAGCACAUUUAAACAUCAUGAAUAUCAUACAUACUGUAAACACAAUCACUCACACGUGACUCCAGAAAUGUUUGCCUAACCCAUCACAUCACGUUUUCCAGAUACACUCACAGACACACCAAAAGACAAAGAGAGUUAAGUAUUAUUCUCAAGUCGAGAAAUUUUUCCUGAAGAAAAAUGCUAUGUGCUUGAAUGAAGUAUAGAGUCAGGUGAAGACGAUACGGAGGACUUGGCUGGGUGGCAGAGUGAUUGCCUGGCACGCUUGAUGACCUGGGUUCCAUCCUGCAUAAAGAUCUAUGGAGGGACUAGAGAAAAAGCUCAGCAAUUAAGAGCACUCUGGGAACCUCCUCUGGCCUUUCCUGGUAAUCAGGCAUACUCAUGCUAUCUACACAUACAUAGAUGCAGGCAAAAGUAAAAAUAAAUAUAUUUUCAGUUUAUUUUAUGUGUAUGGGUGUUCUGCGCACACGCGUGAGUGCGUGCGUGCGGGUGUGCGUGUGUGUGUAUCUACAUAUAUGUGGCUUGGAGGUGAGAAGAGACUUUGGGACAGAGACUUGUCAGUCCAGCUGAACUCCACGGUAUUAUGGUCCCUUCUGUCUGGACUACAUUUCCCAAUGGCACCAGCGAGAGCUGGGCCGUCGCCCCUUUGUGUCCUCCGAGAACCCUGGCAACAGAGGAGCUUCUUUCCCGCCCCCACCCCUUCCUACCCCGAGGCUAGAUUCCAAUUUAAGGGCAGCGGGUGUGGCAGCCUGAGUGGAGGAGAUUCCAGAGGCUUCAGGGAAGAGGCGAGAUCUUUCUGCAGUUCCUUCUGCCUGUAGGGAGUGGUCAGCGUGUCUCCGAGACUCUGGUCUUUAGGUCCUCUGGGCGUCCCUGGGAGUAAGAGAGUAGUUGGUACAGUUUGAGACUGUCACCAGAUGUGAACUAUGCCUGGUCCCUUUCUCUUUCCCACUUGUUUACGGUCGUGGAGCCUCUUUGUGACCAAGAUGUGAGACCGUUGUUAGGGAUGCCAGCCUAUGGCACCAGAGCGUCUGAGACUUGGAGGUAUAGGAGAGGGCUAAACAUCUGAUACCGUGUACACCCACGGCCUUUAACUGUGGCACGUGUGCGACAGUGGCUGGCAAUAUGUUUGAGACUGUGAGGGUCCUGAAACUUGUCACCCAGUAUCUUUUCAGGCUAAGUGGUGACAGUAUGCUACGAGUUUCUGAAUCACUCUUCUGAUGGAGAGGAUGAUUAACGCUUAUUUAAUCUUAGUGACUUAUUUAUUCAAGGUGUAUCUUUAUCUAAACACCACGCAUCUCUUUAUCUGUAAGCUGUGUAAAUUUGCUGCCCAAGUAAUAAAUUGGAAAUGAACUUAGGCAUGGAUUAUAUCGUGUGCAAACAAAUCGCUACGUCUCCGUCUUGCUCUGUCUACUGAAGGGAAGGUUGGGGCCGGAGGAAGAAACAUAGAAUGGAGAUGGUGACCUUCAGAGAUGUGGCAAUAGACUUCUCCCAAGAGGAACGGGAUUGCCUGAAUCCUUCUCAAAGGCAUUUGUACAGUCAUGUGAUGUUGGAGAGCUAUAGAAUCUUGGUGUCUCUGGGCCUUUGCUUUUCUUUUUUUUUUUUUUUUUUAUUAACUUGAGUAUUUCUUAUAUACAUUUCGAGUGUUAUUCCCUUUCCCGGUUUCCGGGCAAACAUCCCCCUCCCGGCCUUUGCUUUUCUAAGCCAAGUGUAAUAUUCCUGUUGGAACAAGAGAAAGAGCCAUGGAGAGUGCGGACAGAGCUGACGGGCAGUUUGUCCACGGGCUGGGAGCCUGUGUAUGAGACUGAAGAGUUAAUCCCAAAGCAGGAACUCUAUGAAGAAGAGUCAUCCAGAAAGAUAAUAGAAGAACUUAGAAGUCUUGGCCUGGAGUAUCCCAGUUUGGUGGGAGAAUGGAGCCAGGGUCAUCAUUUCAAGAGGCAAUACGGGAAUUUAAAGGUUUGUCUCGGGGCUGGAGAGAUGGCUCAGCGGUUAAGAGCACCGACUGCUCUUCCAGAGGUCAUGAGUUCAAUUCCCAGCAACCACAUGGUGGCUCACAACCAUCCGUAAUGGGAUCUGAUGCCCUCUUCUGGUGUAUCUGAAGACAGCUACAGUGUACUUGUAUAUGAUAAAUAAAUAAAUCUUUUUAAAAAAAUAAAAAAAAAAUAAAGGUUUGUCUCGAGGAAGAGACCAUUGCUGUUGAAGCGUUCAUUAAUAAGAGAUCUUGGGGAAGUUUCCACCAGAACACAUUGCUUCAUACACGACCGACAAGCCCAGCAGAGAACACGGCACAUGAAGGCACAUUCCAGAAAAGCUUGAAAAACGGCUCGAAGUUUCUCAAGCCCAAGAGCAUCUGCACAGAGAAGAAACAGCUUAAAUGCAACGGUUGUGAGAAGGUUUUUAGCCAGAGCUCAUCCCUUGCUCUCCAUCAGAGAAUCCACACUGGAGAGAAGCCCUAUCGUGUAUAGAAUGUGGGAAAGCCUUCAGCCAGAGAUCCAACCUUGUCCAGCACCACAGGAUUCACACGGGAGAGAAACCCUACGAGUGUCAGGAUGUGGGAAGGCCUUCAGCCAGAACGCACAUCUAGUUCAGCACCUGCGAGUUCACACUGGAGAAAAGCCUUAUGGGUGUAAGGUGUGCAGGAAGGCCUUCAGCCAGUUCGCCUACCUGGCUCAGCAUCAGAGAGUUCACACCGGGGAGAAGCCCUAGAGUGUGUGGAGUAUGGGAAGGCCUUUAGCAAUAGGUCAUCCAUUACUCAACACCAGAAGGUUCAAAGCGGAGAGAGACCUUAUGAGUGCAGGGUCUGUGGGAAAGCAUUUAGCCUUCGUGCAUACCUUACUGUGCAUCAGAGAAUCCAUACAGAGGAGAGAUCCUAUGAAUGUAAGGAAUGCGGGAAGACCUUCAGCCAAAAUUCCCACCUUGCUCAACAUCAGAGAAUUCAUACUGGAGAGAAACCGUAUAAGUGCCAGGAAUGUAGGAAGGCCUUCAGCCAGAUUGCCUACCUCACUCAGCACCAGAGGGUUCACGCUGGGGAGAAGCCCUAUGAAUGCAAUGUUUGUGGGAAGGCCUUCAGUUACUGUGGAUCCCUUGUCCAACAUCAGAGAAUUCACACAGGAGAGAGACCCUACGAAUGUAAAGAAUGCAAGAAAACCUUCAGGCAACAUGCACAUCUCGCUCAUCACCAGAGAAUUCACAUCGGGGAACUCUUACCACCCAAUCCAGGCAAUCACCAAGUCCUGUAAACUCAUCUCCUAGAUAUUUCUGGAAUUUAUGUUCCUUUCUCCAUCUUUAAUGUUAAUUAUUACUGUACAGUUUUCAUGGCUUUUCUAGUGUCCAUUAUUACUGUCUUCAAAUCUAUUUCCUAUAAUAGGCACAACAUUAUUUUACUUUGAAGUGGGAUCUUGUGUAGUAUAAGCUGGGCUCAGACUCACAUUUACAAAAUAGAAAACCCAGUGUUGGGCCAUAGAAAUGAAAAUACCAAAAUCCCACCAGCACUUAGCUCUCUGCUGGUAGAGAAUUAACAGUUGAAAAUACAGACGGAGCUGGAGAGAUAGCUCAGCAGUUAAGAGCACCGACUGCUCUUCCAGAGGUCCUGAGUUCAAUUCCCAGCAACCACAUGGUGGCUCACAACCAUCUGUAAUGAGGUCUGAUGCCCUCUUCUGGUGUGUCUGAGGACAGCUACAGUGUACUUAUAUAUAAUAAAUAUCUUUAAAAAAAAUACAGAGAGACACACCUUUAUACAGUUGGAGGAAGGUCACCCCAACAGAUGGAAGGGGGGGCAUUUAAAAAUAAGCAAACAUGGGGUUGGGGAUUUAGCUCAGUGGUAGAGCGCUUGCCUAGGAAGCGCAAGGCCCUGGGUUCGGUCCCCAGCUCCGAAAAAAAGAACCAAAAAAAAAAAACAAAAAACAAAAAACAAAAAAAGCAAACAUAGCCAGUGCUUCUCCGUCUAUCUAAACUGUUCAUAAUAAAGAAAAAACGGUAUCUCUGUGGUGUUUGCUUCCUUGCUCCAGCUGUGUCGUUGCUCUCCUCAUACCAUGUCCUUCAGAAAAGAGGCUCACACCAGCCUCCAGGGGCUACCACUGUUGACAGCUGCCUCCAGGGGCUACCACUGUUGACAGCUGUAAAUAAGCCAAGCCCGAGUAACAGCCGCCCCUACAUCUCACCCCUCGCUGCCCGCUCCCACCAGAUCCCCACAAAAAAGACGACUCUCUCGUAUUUGAGUGUUCCGAGAGUCUAUAUUCAAGGUUGGCUCAGCUCUGUAAUCCCUGCGCUUCAGAGGCUAAAGCAGAAGGAUUGCCACAAGUUUGAGAGUCGUCUGGGUGACCUAGCAGGCGAGCCAGGGCUGUAUAGCAAGCCUGGUCCUCCGCUUCAAGGAAAGAAAGAGAAGGAUGGGGUGUUCAUUAUCCUCGUCUCUGCUUCCCCUCGGGACACCAUCUAACCAGACAGGAGACCUGGACAACAACGGAGGAAAGAAGUAACACGAGGGCAGUCUUGGGAGCUGACCCUGGUGCACUCAGGCCAAGUUCACCAGCUUUGCACAAUGUCCAGGAUCGAUGUUGCAAUUGGGAGUGGGUGCUCGUGCCGGUCUCCAGCCUUAACUGUCCCUGGCUUUGUCACUCAUGAACUUGAUC